This 301-nucleotide long non-coding RNA is filed under the name Helianthus annuus (common sunflower). RNAcentral describes it as "sRNA HanXRQr2_Chr09g0388571". The record is from RNAcentral. Lineage: Eukaryota; Viridiplantae; Streptophyta; Magnoliopsida; Asterales; Asteraceae.
UUCUUGAUCUUCUAGGUCCAUUCAAGCAUAAGGAAUUAAGGAGGAAAGCAAAAGCCGUUCCGAGUCUCAAACGAAGAACGAUAAAGGUAAAGCGACUUGCUAAAUGACGCUACUUGGAUCGAACACGCCCAUGAUGCACGCUUCCGCAAAGAUAUUAGUUUGGGUCAAAACUUUUGUUAAAUAUACUUUUGGUAAAUGGGUCUUUUUGUAAGUAACAAACUUGUUCGUUGUUAGAUGUCAAACUCGUAGUCAAAGACAAUGUUAGUUGUUUAUGGAAUGUUGGGUUAAUUUUUGCUUAUGA